This is a long non-coding RNA of Sorghum bicolor (sorghum), 1200 nucleotides long. RefSeq lists it as uncharacterized. The record is from RefSeq and is a predicted model, not a curated record. The transcript has 3 exons. NCBI's taxonomy places the organism in Eukaryota, Viridiplantae, Streptophyta, Magnoliopsida, Poales, Poaceae.
UCCCUUCCUCUUCUCUUCUCUCCAAUCCUCUUCUCUCUGCUAGGGUUAGCCGCUGCUGCCGCCGCCGCCGUCCGUCAUCAACUCGCAACUACCGCCCCAGGUCGUAUGCUGUCGCCCAUAGCACGAAUCCUCGAAGGGGGCACCACCUCCGACGGCAGCGAGUCCCCUGCGCCGAGGGCGGCGACACAGCAGCAACGCGCCGCGCCUCCCCUCCUCGACCCCUAGGCGCUCUCCUCCACCAACUCAGAGGUGCCUCAUGUCAUUUCCUCUUUUUCUCUCCCUCUCUCUCUCCUCUCUCUCAUCCCCCCAAAUCAGAGGGUAGCGGCGGUGGCUCCCCUGACCACGGCGUGGAUCUGCAUCAGGCGGCCAUGCAAGCGCCUCCUCACCGACCGGCGGCAGCGCAGGCGCACCCUCUCCGACGCACUGAAAUUCGCUGGCGAUUCAUUAGAGCAGCCCCUCUAGGCACGGGCGAUAUGGUUACCACGUCAAUCUCAGCAGCAAAAUGGUGAGCAAAGGGCUUCCGGCUAGUGACACAACAAUAGGAUACAGCCAUGGAUAUCACUCAGGUUCUGCUAGAUGCUCAAUCUCCAGAUGCUAACCUUCGAACAGUAGGAGAAAGCAACCUCACACAGUUCCAGGAGCAGAAGCUUUAAGCUACGCUCAACUGUCUGUGUGACUCAGAUUUGAUGCAAACCGUGUUAUAAAAAAAGACAUGUUGUAAUUUGUUCAUUUCAAAUCAAUGUCUGUUCCAAUCUAUGUGUCCUAUCACUAUUGAUUAUACUUCUAUUCUGUACAGGUACUACUUUCUCAACUUGGGUAGCAGCAACAAUAAGAUCUGAAGCUUUCUGUACAAGUACCUGCAGAUGGUUUUGCUGUGAUCUUAGUGGCAAAUUGUUGUGAUAUUCACUGAACAGAAAUGGGAGUGCUGUUGCUGGUGGUUGCCUGUGGCCCUAGUUUAGUAGUGUUACUGUUGCUAGUGGUUGCCUAUGGCCCUAGUUUAGUAGUGUUACUGUGAAUUUGGUUGAGUUGUGAGUCAAGUACUGAUGUUAAGUACUGAUGUCCCUAGUUAUCUUGCUACUGAUGUCAAGUUAGUUGUGAGUCAAGUAAUGAUGUUAAGUGAGUUAUGCAAUAACUUAUGUUGCCACUUUGUGGAAUCUUUUAGUCAUUUCAAUGUUAUUAAAAAAAUGCAUUUUUCAUUCC